GGGGGGAGGCCGGAUCCUGGGCUGUGUCCUGGCGCCCUGUGCUCCGGGGCCUGCGCUGUUGGAUUCCGCUCUGGCUGUGCAGCCCCCU
Molecule: microRNA precursor, 88 nt
Filed under: Canis lupus familiaris (dog)
Lineage: Eukaryota; Metazoa; Chordata; Mammalia; Carnivora; Canidae
Also listed under: 1 other name
Description: mir-8799 microRNA precursor family
Rfam family: mir-8799 microRNA precursor family
Source: Rfam by way of RNAcentral